This is a long non-coding RNA of Rhincodon typus (whale shark), 598 nucleotides long. RefSeq lists it as uncharacterized. NCBI's taxonomy places the organism in Eukaryota, Metazoa, Chordata, Chondrichthyes, Orectolobiformes, Rhincodontidae. The record is from RefSeq and is a predicted model, not a curated record. The transcript has 2 exons.
UCCUAAGACACCAACCCCCAUAGGCGCUUGAACAUGAUCCGAACCAAUCCGGGAAAAGGCUGCAUUUACAGCAUAGCUUCGGACUAACAGCUCUGAAUCGAGCUCCCUCUCUAUUUGGAAAUAUGAACUUCGAAAAACUCCACCUUAUUGCCGUAGGAAUGUUCGAACUUGAAAGUCCGGAAAGGUUGUUCAAACGAUGUUCCGGUUGCCUCAUUGUGGGCCGGGGACUAUCAAACACAGGAGAGUCUGUUACUUCAUGUCGGCAGAGAGAACCCACAUUGCAUUUACUUGGCGUGGUGUAGCCUCGGCAUUUUAUUACAGCAUCGAGACUCGUAUCAUGGCUUCGAUGUUGGGUCUUGUAACGCAGUUACACCCAGUUACUGUGAGUCAGCAGGCUCGGGUUCAAGUUUCACCUGUUCCGGGGUGGUUAAAAAAUAACAUUUCUGAACAAGUUGGUUAGAAAAAGCAUAGACCAUUCUGUUUGUUUCCUCCAAAGAUGUUACCAGACCUGUGGAGUAUGUUUUUAUUUCAGUCACACGGACAUAGAGACACUGAUAGAUUCUCCUCUGAUGCAUUAAAUGUAAUUUUUAUUCUUGGA